RNAcentral lists this ribosomal RNA (253 nucleotides) under uncultured bacterium. RNAcentral describes it as "partial 16S ribosomal RNA". It matches the Rfam family "Bacterial small subunit ribosomal RNA", at positions 524 to 776 of the family's 1533-position model. The record is from RNAcentral.
UACGGGGGGGGCAAGCGUUGUUCGGAAUUACUGGGCGUAAAGGGCUCGUAGGUGGCCAACUAAGUCAGACGUGAAAUCCCUCAGCUUAACUGGGGAACUGCGUCUGAUACUGGAUGGCUUGAGUUUGGGAGAGGGAUGCGGAAUUCCAGGUGUAGCGGUGAAAUGCGUAGAUAUCUGGAGGAAUACCGGUGGCGAAGGCGGCAUCCUGGACCGGCAUUGACGCUGAGGAGCGAAAGCCAGGGGAGCAAACGGG